Molecule: ribosomal RNA, 527 nt
Filed under: Vansonia rueppellii (Rueppell's pipistrelle)
Lineage: Eukaryota; Metazoa; Chordata; Mammalia; Chiroptera; Vespertilionidae
Description: Pipistrellus rueppellii (Rueppell's pipistrelle) partial 16S ribosomal RNA
Rfam family: Bacterial large subunit ribosomal RNA
Source: RNAcentral
CCCGGUGACUUUAGUUUAACGGCCGCGGUAUCCUGACCGUGCAAAGGUAGCAUAAUCACUUGUUCUCUAAAUAAGGACUAGUAUGAAUGGCCCCACGAAGAUUCUACUGUCUCUUACUUCAAAUCAGUGAAAUUGAUAUUCCCGUGAGGAAGCGGGAAUAAAAAAAUAAGACGAGAAGACCCUAUGGAGCUUUAAUUUACUAAUUCACAUUUCUAAUACACCGCCUCAUAAGAGGUCAAAUCUGUUUUAACUGAACUAGGAAUUUAGGUUGGGGUGACCUCGGAGCAAAACUUAACCUCCGAGAAAGACUAUUAAGACUCACAAGUCAAAAUUAAAUUAUUUUUCACUGAUCCGUCAAUGACGAUCAACGAAACAAGUUACCCUAGGGAUAACAGCGCAAUCCUAUUCAAGAGUCCAUAUCGACAAUUAGGGUUUACGACCUCGAUGUUGGAUCAGGACAUCCCAUUGGUGCAGCAGCUAUUAAUGCGUUCGUUUGUUCAACGAUUAAAGUCCUACGUGAUCUGAGU